AGUGAACGCUGGCGGUAGGCCUAACACAUGCAAGUCGAACGGCAGCACAGUAAGAGCUUGCUCUUACGGGUGGCGAGUGGCGGACGGGUGAGGAAUACAUCGGAAUCUACUUUUUCGUGGAGGAUAACGUAGGGAAACUUACGCUAAUACCGCAUACGACCUACGGGUGAAAGCAGGGGAUCUUCGGACCUUGCGCGAUUGAAUGAGCCGAUGUCGGAUUAGCUAGUUGGCGGGGUAAAGGCCCACCAAGGCGACGAUCCGUAGCUGGUCUGAGAGGAUGAUCAGCCACACUGGAACUGAGACACGGUCCAGGCUCCUACGGGAGGCAGCAGUGGGGAAUAUUGGACAAUGGGCGCAAGCCUGAUCCAGCCAUACCGCGUGGGUGAAGAAGGCCUUCGGGUUGUAAAGCCCUUUUGUUGGGAAAGAAAAGCAGCAGGUUAAUACCCCGCUGUUCUGACGGUACCCAAAGAAUAAGCACCGGCUAACUUCGUGC
RNAcentral lists this ribosomal RNA (493 nucleotides) under uncultured bacterium. RNAcentral's name for it is "partial 16S ribosomal RNA". It matches the Rfam family "Bacterial small subunit ribosomal RNA", at positions 29 to 508 of the family's 1533-position model. The record is from RNAcentral.